CCCCUAGAUGUUCUGGGCCGCACGCGCGCUACACUGAACAGUUCAACAAGUCUUAACCUUGGCCGAUAGGUCUGGGUAAUCUUUGAACGCUGUUCGUGAUUGGGAUAGACCUUUGCAAUUAUGGGUCUUCAACGAGGAAUUCCUAGUAAACGCAAGUCAUCAGCUUGCAUUGAUUACGUCCCUGCCCUUUGUACACACCGCCCGUCGCACCUACCGAUUGAAUGGUCCGGUGAAAUCUCGGGACGGCGGCUUGGUCGCUUGCGUCCGACUGCUGAAACUUGAUUAAACCAUAUCAUUUAGAGGAAGGUGAAGUAGUANCA
Molecule: ribosomal RNA, 320 nt
Filed under: uncultured eukaryote
Lineage: Eukaryota
Description: partial 18S ribosomal RNA
Rfam family: Eukaryotic small subunit ribosomal RNA
Source: RNAcentral